Long non-coding RNA from Orbicella faveolata, 3177 nucleotides. NCBI's taxonomy places the organism in Eukaryota, Metazoa, Cnidaria, Anthozoa, Scleractinia, Merulinidae. The record is from RefSeq and is a predicted model, not a curated record.
AGAGAUCGAAUGGUCAGUUGCUUUAAUUAAAGCAUUUAACAAGAAAUAUAAGGAGUAACGUAAUUCGACGUCACGCACAGGAAUGCCACCUAAUGAUAUUCAUAACUUAACUCUUUUAACAACUUUGGCAUUCAACGAUUUUUAUUCUUGAUAAUAAUCUUAUUUUUGCCUUCUCUAUUAAAUUGAAUAGCUUGCACAUUUACAGACACAGCUGGAGAAGGCUCAGAGCGUGGCCGUCAAAUGGGAAUCACAGUGGACUCACAUACAGAACACAGCGGCCAAGAAAACUCUCCUUUUAGGAAGAAUAAAAAUGGCAACCCAUAACCUGUUUAUGCUCGUAAACAGACACCUGAAACAGAACACAGUCAUAGAACUCACUGAAAAACAGCUGGAAAAGAUUCAAGUGUUCAUCCAAGAUCUGACACAGAUCAUGAAUGAAAUCAGAAGAGCCGAGACAGCUGCCACCAAUGUCACAUCCACCAUGAGCUGAAUAACCAGAAAUUAGUUUAGGAGGACUAUUGUAGAAAGUUGUAAAUAUUGUGUCUAGAUUUAUUCACGCAUACAGCAUGUUAAAAAUGUAUACGUUAAUAAAUUGGCCCGAGAUGGGCGUAAAACGGGCAAGGAAGCCUUUUCAUUGGUGUACUGAGAACAGAUACAGAUCAUCUGCUAUAAAAUUUUACCUCCUUAUCAAACGAUCAAGGGCGCUUAUCAUUUAGCCAGAAAAUCCGGAAAUUUCGGCGGAAAGUCAAAUGGUACAGUAAAUUUCCGUAAAAUCCCUUCGGAAAUUUAGAGACUACCUCCAGAAGUAGACCUUUUUUCGUUCGGAAAUUUCCUUACCAUUUGUUACAUUUUUUCAGUUUCCAGUGUCUCAUCAGCCGAAAACAAUUACAGGAAAUCGAAUUGUAAAUAGUAAGCGCCAUUUCGUUCGGUUGGUUUACUGAUUCUGAUGCCGCGCCGACCUUCAGUUCGGUACUAGUUCACUCCGGUUCCCCUUUGUGGCUCUGUAUUCGUUUUUCAUGUUACCACCACAAAAUUUUAUACCCUGUAAACGCAGUACGACUGUUCGUUCACGCAUGAAAUCACUUUCCCAGGAAUCUGGAACGUGUAGCGCAUGCGUAGUCCUCGACGUCUAAUCCCAGAGGGCGUCACUUUAGUUCAAAAGCGGUGUCCUUAGUUUAAAAGCAGUACGUGGUGUGUGCACAUUGUAUUUGGUAAAGGAGUGGCUUUAAGUGUGCUUUGAACACAGACGUCGAUCUGUUUCCAAGGUAAGCAAUUUUCAUCAUAUAUCAUCUGUAACUUGAAAGGCUCAGCUAAGUAAUCGAAACGUUAAAAUUGUUUUGUGGCUUUGGCAUUUCAAUGAAGUGCUUUAUCUAUGCUACCAGAACGAAAGUCGAUUGAGCGAUGCGGCCUCGGGAGCCUUAAGCCGUAUCACCGGUUUAACUUGUUUUUGCUUUUAUCACAGGUCUGCGUCGAAUGCAGACCUUUCCAUACACGUUGGAGUUUGAGACACUAAUUAGUCGAUGCAAACGAGUAAAUUUAUUACCUUAGUAAUAAUUUGUCCGGUAAACAUGUGGAGGCUCAGGAGGGAUGGGGGCGUCUCUAAGCAAAACAUUGGUUGAGUACUAGAUAUGGGACAUUUCUAGUCCCUAGCGGUCUCCUGCAUUCAAUGCAGAGGUGAUAACCGCUACACCACUAAUACUCGCCCUCGAUAUUCCACACUUCUACUACGCCUGUUAAAAGUCCACUAACACAUGUUUCGCUUCACCGCUUAUAUUCCCUUUUUUUAUGAUAAUUCCAGUCAUCAGCACAGUUCAAGGUCUUUUCAAUUAUGAAUGAUUUGGCUUGCAAACCCAAUUGUGUACGCAGUGUGUAUGGCAAUGUGUAUCGCAGUGUGUUAUCGUGGUAUGCUGUUGUUAUCCUUUACGGAAACAUAAUUUGGACUAGACUUGCCACAAGUUGACCUUUUCUUAAUCCUUGACUUACUUAUCUCCCUCGAGAGAAGCGAGAGAGUAAUCUUGGGGCGACGAAGUCAGGAGGGCAAGCGCGAGCGACCUAGGUCGCGAGAGAUCGAUUUGUUUCACUUGCAGGAAUGUGAAUCAGAGCGUAAACUUUUGGCGCGAAAAAUAUGAUUGACGUUUCUCACUUUUCAUGUGCUCCGCGCGUGAUCGUCACGAAAGCAGAAAAUGAUUUCCAUCAAAACGUUUACGAGUACUGUUCUCUAACUCAAAUGAAUUUAUUUGUGUACACUGCAGUAUGUAGUCAUCAAUAUUGACAAACGGCAAAAGCUGUUCCAUUGAGUAACGCCUCCUGAAAAGUCAAAACCCUGUUUAAACCGAUCGGGAAUUAUUUUAGUCUAGAUUGGUCGCCUAGAUUAGAGAUUAACCAGCGAUAGAUCAGAGAGCUGCCUGAGAAAUGCUAUAAACUUACGUAGAUAUGGCUUGUACCGACAAGAAUCCGAAUUAACUAAAGAAGACGGAAUUAGUCUGGGAGAACUUGAAUUCUGUAAAGCUCUCUUGAUUAAAUAACGUUGAGAAUCGAAGUCACAGCAAUCGGCAGAGAAUAAAAUCGCUGUUCCCAAAAGUCCUUCAUCGAUCGACGAGUGCUUUCAACACGGUAAAACGGCCGAGGCAAAUUUGCUGCGAUGCCCUUUCUUUGUAGAAAAGUAACUUGGUCAUUCAUUAAAUCAACUAAAAGCGCAACAAUUACACAUACUGCAGGAACGGCUCUGUUCUUCUUUCAAAGGUCUAAACUUAAUUCUCUGAAACGAUCGAGAUCACGCAGGAGCUCAGAUCGCGUCCGUAGGUAAACAAACAUGUAUUGGUCGGAUAAAUAGCCUUCCACUGAUUUUCCCUGUCCUUCCUUCAAUGUGACUCUAAAAUUUUGCUCUGCCCCUGUAAUAAAACCCUCUAAUCACAAGGGCUCGAUGAUUUGUACUUUAAAACAACAACAAGAACGACAACAAAAAACCAAACAACCAAAAAAAAAGAAAACAAAAACAAAGACAAACGUAACAAAAAAAUAAAACAAAAAAAAACCAGCGGGAAACCUAAAAGACCACAGAGAAACCAACGAGACAGUUUAAGCACAGGCAACCCAUGCUCACUUUCGGAUAUUCACUUCAUUUGUCAAACUGCUUAGAAAAAUAGCCUUAUCUGUGUAAAUAAACCACACUUGCCU